This 252-nucleotide non-coding RNA is filed under the name Streptomyces roseochromogenus subsp. oscitans DS 12.976. Its description in RNAcentral is "Streptomyces sRNA 4677". It matches the Rfam family "Streptomyces sRNA 4677". From Rfam's summary of the family: Located in the intergenic region between anti-sigma factor SCO4677 gene and a putative regulatory protein gene SCO4676. scr4677 expression requires the SCO4677 activity and scr4677 sRNA itself seem to affect the levels of the SCO4676-associated transcripts. Lineage: Bacteria; Bacillati; Actinomycetota; Actinomycetes; Kitasatosporales; Streptomycetaceae. The record is from Rfam by way of RNAcentral.
CGGGCCGGGGCUGCGGGCGGUAAAAGACCAAAGAACCCUGGGAGAAAACCAACCAACCAAACCAAACCCCGCGUAGGUCACCCGACCGGGUGAAUGCGGUCGAUCCGGCUGGCGCGGCGGCGGCUCGGGCAUGCAGUCUCACCCCGAGGCAUAUGCGCCUCGCAAGACACAACCCCCAUACAUGCAACGGCCCCCGCCGGGACGGCAAUCCCAGUGCGAGGGCCUGACCAACGAGGAAGCAGACCCUUCCCU